GAUGAACGCUGGCGGCGUGGCUAAUACAUGCAAGUCGAGCGAACAGAUGAGGAGCUUGCUCCUCUGACGUUAGCGGCGGACGGGUGAGUAACACGUGGAUAACCUACCUAUAAGACUGGGAUAACUUCGGGAAACCGGAGCUAAUACCGGAUAAUAUAUUGAACCGCAUGGUUCAAUAGUGAAAGACGGUUUUGCUGUCACUUAUAGAUGGAUCCGCGCCGCAUUAGCUAGUUGGUAAGGUAACGGCUUACCAAGGCAACGAUGCGUAGCCGACCUGAGAGGGUGAUCGGCCACACUGGAACUGAGACACGGUCCAGACUCCUACGGGAGGCAGCAGUAGGGAAUCUUCCGCAAUGGGCGAAAGCCUGACGGAGCAACGCCGCGUGAGUGAUGAAGGUCUUCGGAUCGUAAAACUCUGUUAUUAGGGAAGAACAAAUGUGUAAGUAACUAUGCACGUCUUGACGGUACCUAAUCAGAAAGCCACGGCUAACUACGUG
Molecule: ribosomal RNA, 497 nt
Filed under: uncultured bacterium
Lineage: Bacteria
Description: partial 16S ribosomal RNA
Rfam family: Bacterial small subunit ribosomal RNA
Source: RNAcentral